Molecule: ribosomal RNA, 406 nt
Filed under: uncultured bacterium
Lineage: Bacteria
Description: partial 16S ribosomal RNA
Rfam family: Bacterial small subunit ribosomal RNA
Source: RNAcentral
AUUGAACGCUGGCGGCAGGCCUAACACAUGCAAGUCGAACGAGUGGCGGACGGGUGAGUAAAGUCUGGGAAAAUGCCCGAGGGAGGGGGAUAACACUUGGAAACGGUAGCUAAUAUCGCAUACCACAGGAUGUGUCCAGAUGGGGUUAGCUAGUGGGUGGGGUAACGGCUCACCUAGGCGACGAUCCCUAGCUGGUCUGAGAGGAUGACCAGCCCCACUGGAACUGAGACACGGUCCAGACUCCUACGGGAGGCAGCAGUGGGGAAUAUUGCACAAUGGGCGCAAGCCUGAUACAGCCAUGCCGCGUGUAUGAAGAAGGCCUUCGGGUUGUAAAGUACUUUCAGCGAGGAGGCGUUACUCGCAGAAGAAGCACCGGCUAACUCCGUGCCAGCAGCCGCGGUAAUAC